This is an RNA transcript of Tribolium castaneum (red flour beetle), 1038 nucleotides long. RefSeq lists it as uncharacterized. The record is from RefSeq and is a predicted model, not a curated record. NCBI's taxonomy places the organism in Eukaryota, Metazoa, Arthropoda, Insecta, Coleoptera, Tenebrionidae. The transcript is spliced from 2 exons.
CAUUUCAUAAUUUUGAUGUUACUUUCACGUCAAAUUUUUGCUACAAUGUUUCAACUUGUACUCGUACUCAUCGCAUCAUGUUUAAUUUACGCACACGGGGCAAUUUUCGACCCCGGAGAGCUCAGACUGAAGGUGCUAAAGUUUGACCCUAAAUCAAUAAAUUAUUGCAAAAUGUCUUGUGGAAAAGUUGAACAUUCAGCUUGCAAAUGCAGUCGAGCAGGAGGUCGUGAAGAACUAGAUCUUAAAAACAUUACCAACUUUCGCAAAUUACUAUUAGACUUACACAACGAAGCAAGAAAUAAUGUUGCUUCCGGAAAAGAAACUAGAGGCGAAUUGACUUCAGCUUCCAACAUGAUGGCUGUGAGUUACAGUUUAGAAUUGGAAUACUUUGCCAGAUGUUAUAUGAGGAAUAGGUUUACUGGGCGUCUUGAGCCGGGUAAUUGUCGUGUAAUGUCAAAUGGUCGAAAGGCAGGACAGUGUGUCAUUGGUAGUAAGGGAAAGCAAACUGAUCUUUCUUGGGUAAAGAAAGCUUUCGAACAGUGGAUGGGUCAAAUCCAGUACAUAAGAAAGAGGUACAUCGAUAGUUACUCUUUGCCGUCUGGAGGAGAUGGCGAGAAUGGAGAUUUUAUAGAAAUAAUGUGGGCGGCUGUUAAUGAAAUAGGAUGCGCUCGAAUCUACGCAAAAGACAUAAAGAAACUGAAAUAUAUAAUGCCUUAUGAAACAGGUCUUAUCUGUAACUACGGAAUUACAAUCUCAGAAGAUCAAAAUUUGUCACCGAAUGAGCCAGGCAGACCAGUGUUUAAAAGGGGAAAACCUUGUUCAGAAUGUCCUGAAUUUACGAAAUGUAACAAAGAGUACACCUCAUUGUGCGGAGAAAUUGCUCCUCUCCCAACAGGUCCAGCGUAUGAUUUUGACAAUACUUCAAAAGCCAUGACAAACAAACUUAAGAGACUAACGCUUUUAGUUGUGACUUUUUCCUUUUUGGUUUUAUUGUAAGUAAAUGUACUAACAAAAUUAAUAAACAAAAUUAUACAACUU